GGAGGGGUGCCCGAGUGGUUUAAGGGAGCGGCCUUGAAAUCCGUCGUGUGUUUCGACGCACCGUGGGUUCGAAUCCCACCCCCUCCGCCA
This 90-nucleotide transfer RNA is filed under the name Chloroflexota bacterium. RNAcentral's name for it is "Chloroflexi bacterium tRNA-Ser". It matches the Rfam family "tRNA". From Rfam's summary of the family: Transfer RNA (tRNA) molecules are approximately 80 nucleotides in length. Their secondary structure includes four short double-helical elements and three loops (D, anti-codon, and T loops). Lineage: Bacteria; Bacillati; Chloroflexota. The record is from RNAcentral.